This 86-nucleotide transfer RNA is filed under the name Carboxydocella thermautotrophica DSM 16521. RNAcentral's name for it is "Carboxydocella sporoproducens DSM 16521 tRNA_Tyr_GTA". It matches the Rfam family "tRNA". From Rfam's summary of the family: Transfer RNA (tRNA) molecules are approximately 80 nucleotides in length. Their secondary structure includes four short double-helical elements and three loops (D, anti-codon, and T loops). Lineage: Bacteria; Bacillati; Bacillota; Clostridia; Eubacteriales; Clostridiales Family XVI. Incertae Sedis. The record is from RNAcentral.
GGAGGAGUUCCCGAGUGGCCAAAGGGAGCAGACUGUAAAUCUGCCGGCUGAUGCCUUCGUAGGUUCGAAUCCUACCUCCUCCACCA